This is a long non-coding RNA of Lolium perenne, 5702 nucleotides long. RefSeq lists it as uncharacterized. The record is from RefSeq and is a predicted model, not a curated record. Lineage: Eukaryota; Viridiplantae; Streptophyta; Magnoliopsida; Poales; Poaceae.
CUCCCUCAACCAAUCUGGUCGUGUGAGAGACGAGAGAACCAAAGCCACUACCUAUUCCCCCGAUUCAGCAACGCACGCGGGUGAAAACCCUAGGUCCCUAGCACGCAGCCGCGCUCCUCCAUCUCCUUCCUCCUGGCUUUUCUAUGCUCCCUCCAAUCCCAUCCACGGAAGCGGCAUCCUCGGCGGAGCGCGGCGCGGGCAGACAGCAGCGGCAUCGCCAUUGGAGCACGCGCAGGAGCGGCGAAUCCCUCCGUGUCCGGGUCCUGGCUACUGCCUCGUCGCCGUGUGUGCUAUCAAUCGCCGUCGACCUCUGCCUCCUCCACCCCAGCCAGUCGUUGUCGUGCUGCUACAUCUCCUCGCCGAGGUUGGGGGCGACGGCCACGAGCCGGAUGCGGUCGCGUGAACGCGCGCGAGGGGAGGAAGCAGAGGCAGACGGCGCGCGAGCAGCGGCCUUACAACGGGGAGGAGAGAGAGGUGCGCGUGAGGAUAGAGGAGAGCGAGCUGGCGGCGAGCUGCAGCGCCGGCCCGGAGGUGGAGGAGCAGCAAGUGGCGGCGGCGCUAGGUGGAGGAGCGGUCGGCGCCGCUGCUGCGUAUUUAGUCACCUUUUUCAAGCCCGAAAUUCAUGUCCAGGAAGGAAAGGGAAAGCGCGCUCGGUCGUUUUCGUCUGAGAGGACACUCUGUUGCAGGUUUUAUGCAGUGAGCUGUUGGAUGCUGGAAUUUGAAUUUGGUUCUGUGAUGAUCUGGCUGGAGCCUAGGGAGUCGAGUUUACUCCAGUGACAAAACAAAGGCUAAGAUAGCUCAAGACAGGUACAACCAGGUUUGGAUCUCCCAACAAGACCUGCUCAUACAGUGUACAUGGAGCUGCAUUGGGCACCAGCCAGGUUGAAGCAACCGGGGCAAACCUUAGAUGGCCCUAUGAGCCAUUCUUUGUGCAUGAGGAUGUCAAGAGAAUGGUUGAAGUGAAAGGGCAAUAAACAUUAUUACAGCCCAGGAUGCCUUAUCUCUUUAGAUGCGUGUUGAUCUGAAAUGGAGCAGAUCUAGAUGCCCCGAUCUGAUUCAGCACUUCCUCUUCUCUCGAUUUCAAGGUGAUGUUUACUGUGUAGCAAAAAUGAGAGUUUAAUUACUUAAAAAUGAGAGAGUGGCUACUUAAAAAUCAGAGGUUGUUUGACCUUGAUUAGUUCAUGUCAGGUUUGUCCUCCACGACAUGUUUUUCUUGCCUAAUGCAAGUGGAUCUGUUUUCUUAUUCAAAUAAGUAGUUUAAUACAGUUUCAUCAUGCCCAAAGUGUUCAUCAUCAGCUCAUGUAGCUUCAUACAACAGCUUCGGAAACUCUAUUCUUGGUCCUUGGAUACGAAUGUCAGUCAGAUCUAUGUAAGCUUGAACAUGUAAAUAGUAGGAGGGGAAGGGCAGCAGGGUGCCAUGUCUAGAGGAGUUAGAGCUUGACGCGCGGGAGCAGGCGAGCGAGAUGUGGAUGGACAGAGGGAUUCGGCCUCCACUGCCACCAUGCUGAGAAGAGGCCCAUGGUGGUAGCAGCCGAUUAUAGAGGUCUGACUUUCUUUCCUCUACAUUCUCGCCUUUUCCUUGUUCAGAACCCUAAUAUUUUGAUUGAUUAGAUUCUAAAUCUGGAGCAUAUAAUCUGAUGUUGCUAAAAUAUGUUAAUCAUUAGCUUUAUUUCAAUAUUUUUUGGUAAUUGUUAUAGCCUAAUUUUUUCAAGACAAAAAGAAAAACAAGGAACUGUGAUGCAUUUGAUGUUUCUUAAGUAACCCCUCUGUCCAAAAGAGCACAUAAAUUAUAUAAUCUUUGAAUCAUCAAUUUGUGUUACCAUUCACUUUGAUUACAAGGAUCUGGCCUCCUGUGCAUUUUGCUUGUUGACAAUUCCUCCAAGAAUUGUAGGGAGACACUAUGCAUCACAGGAUAUUCCUGAUUUUAGAGAGAGAGAGGCAUUUCAUCAUCCAUAUUAUAGGGAGACACUAUGUUUCUGGGAAUGUUUCUUGUGAUUGGAACCAAAUCUGAUAUGCCCCGGAGUUUGGAUAGGACCAUUUCAAAAAGAGCUAAUUGCUCUCUCUAAGUAGAGUAUACAACAACAUACAAAAAGAGUCAAUUGGGACAAGCCCGUGGGGGGAGAAGACAAGGGGAAGUGAGUGCGAGAGGCAGAGACUAGAGAAUGAAUCGUGUGUCCUAUCUGUGUGUAUUGUUUUUAGAUGCAUUUUAGAAGACUAUAAUUAAAUUUUCUACGUUCUACGUAGAUAUUCAACAUUUCUGGUUGCAAUUGUAUUUUCUAAAUUAUGCUUCCUAAUUCGUUUCCGCACUGUUGGGUGUGUGCUCAAUCUGUAUGAAUUUUGGCUUACUGAUUUUGUUGGUCUUUUAUUCCACAAGUCUAUGAUUUUUCCGCUGUUCUUAAUGGUGAGGCAAACUUUGAUAUAGUAAGUCUGUCCAAUGUGUUUUUGUGGUCUAUGCUGAUUCUAUGAAAGCAUUAGCGGCCUCGCCGGUACCAGCAGCAGGAUCAUGAUCUACAUUCUUGCCUACUAUCUCUAGACCAUAUGUUGCGCCACAAUGGACUGUCGAGAGAUCAGCGGCAGCGAGAUGCAGCCUACAGGCCCAUUAGUUUGAGGAGAUUUGUUCCUAACAACUGAGGCAGCAAUUCAGUUGGCUUGAAGGACAUCAACAACAAUGGGAGCAUUUGUGUCCAAAUUUUGAAGGACGAAAGGAACUGUACUACUAUUUCGAAGCCAUUGAAGGGAUGUCCCCUUCUUUUGCGGCAUGAGGCGAGAGGAGCAUCGGCAGCCGCUGCAUUGCAACUUCUAGCCAAGGCACUCCUUUGUCCAUGGAACAGCAUGAGCUGAUGUUGCCGUGAGAGAAAGUUUGGUUAUAUGGUACGAAGGUUUGAGCUCUCUACAAAUGAUGUGAUCAAGCACCUAAGAGCCCCCACUUGAUAGUAGGUUAAAUGGACAUUUCCCUCCCUAAGUAUCCAGGGUUAAUUAGAGAGAACGUGUAGACAUCAACCCAGGCGGUCUUUUUUCUAGGAGAAAAGAGUAAACUAACUCACCUAGGCCCAAGUGAGGGGGCAAGCUUGAUUGAAGUGGCACUUAUGUACCCUCUGUUUAAAUGAGUAGAUGAUUCUUUUCACAACAUAUGUACUGUUAUAGGUAUGCCAUUUUACUGACUAUGAAGAUCGAUGUAUCACAAUAAUGAAGGAACAUGCCUUCCCAACAUUGGUUCAGGUUAGACAUACUGAUUUCUUCUGAGGUAAUAUCCUAAAGCAACUAUUGAGGUUUUUGUAUCAGAACUAAAUUUUCGCAAAAUGACGUUGCUUCAUAAGUUGAUAACACUGUCUGCAGGUCAAAGAGAGAAAUAAUAUACUGUAUGUUAUAUACAUAGUUCAUGUGCUACAUGGCUGUAGGUCUAAAAUUAAAAUUCAUAAUUUCAAAAAUUAUUGGAAUAGUCACUUAAUGACAUUUAAAUAGCAUGUAAGGCUUGCACUUAAACAAAUCUGUAUGUGCGUGCCUCCUGUUGAUGGGUUCAGAGACUUAAACAUUGAUGGUAAUAUUCUAUUUUGUUCCUAGAGCCAGCUUGGUACACAUCGCUAAUAGUAGCUGUAGUGUUCACAUUUUGGUAGUGCAUAGACAGGCGAGACAAAAGCUAAUGUGAUGCCUUGAAUCGUUGAGGUUUCCAAAUAAAAUCUUAUAAGUAGAAUUUAUUUAUUUACUGUGCAUUACACAAGCUUCAACCUGGCACUCUGGCAGUGGUGUGAGAGUGAAAUCAUGGAACUGAAAAAGAUGAAUUGGCCUUUCUGGAGGUUUUUUGUACAAGUCUUUUGUUCUGAAAUUUAAAUAGUUAUUUCUAUGUUGGAAUUAUAACUCGUUGUGUUUUCAGAUGUCAUGCCCCCUUUUUUUUAGAUUCGCAUUACGAGAGAUUCUCAAAGAUCAGUAACUCAUAUGCAUUUUUGUGUGUGCAUCCUUGGAUUGAGGAGUUUCCUCUCUGUCCAUCUCGGUAUCGGUAAAGGUAAUCCCCGAUGAUUUGUAGAGUAUUUUUGUACAUUUACUAUUUAGCUAAACGUUUUUCUCUAGCUCGGAUUUCAUGCCUCGAUUUCUGCAGCUCAUUGUUUGAUUGAAAGUUUAGUUAGUACUAAAAAUCUUUAUUUAUUGAGUCUUCUCUUUUCCCGGAACAACAAAUUUUGGUGAUGCAAGUGAACGUUCUUUCUAUGUUAUAUGCAUAUCUUGCAUUACAGAGAUCAUGUUUUCCCUUUCAUAGUUGCCGUGUAAAUAUGAACUAAUUAAGCAUAUGUUGUGACGAUCCUCCUGUGCAUCUUUAUGUGGAUGGUGCUCUUCUACCGCUUCUUCAUGCUUGCCGUACGUGACCUUUUGGUUUGUCCUGGUAUAGGUUAGUUUAGCUAAUCGCUCUAGACAUUUGUAGACUCCUGGUUUAGUGGCAUUAUACUGGAUGUUUGAACAUAUAGAGGAAACAUCCUUAUAGAGGGCUGGAUCUAUCUCCCACUGAAUACCUCAAAUAUGUAAACCUUAUGUAUAUAAGAGCAACGUUAUUUUCUCUAGGCCUAAACAGUCACUCCUGUGUAUAACAUACUUCCAUAUAUUAUCUCCAUCUGCUUAGCAUGUGAGCAUCACUUUAAGAUUAUCUAUUUAGUCUUCAUUUGCUACUUGCCUAUGAUCAAAUUGUAUACUUGUUCAUUUUAUGAUGUACUUGCUUUGCACUCCUCAUUUGUGAACUUCAUUCUAAUCCAUCACGCUUUUGACUCUUGCUAGGUUCCAGUCGUUAUACAUAUUUUUUUGAGGGAGGGUAUGUAUACAUUGUGGAUGUACUGUUGUUCACUUCACCUAUUUUAUGUUUUUUUGGUACAUCAUAUGUUACUUACGGUAUUCAACACAAUGCUUAUUGAUGUGAAACUUGGGGAACGCGCGCGUGUGCGAGCUGUUUACGUAUCCUGUAACUGAGUUUAAGGGAAUGAUGGGUGAAGGUGGAGGAGUUGAUGAAGAUAGUACUAAAUCCUAUAGGGCAAGGAUUAUUUUUUCACUAGCCAAUGACAAGCUAAGAUGGCUCCAAAGCCAUAUGAGCUCCCCCAUUUGAUGAGUUGGAUACAAUCACAAAGAGGUGCUUAAGAAAUAUAUGCUGUCUAACUUUAUGACUUCGAUUUUCAUUGUUUGAGAUUGUGGGCUGCUGCAGGCUGUUGUUGCAACUCUUUCUCUAAUAGUGAUGGCAAGACUGUUAUCGUCUGAUAUGUCAAGAGAUCCUUGCUCCAGGAAUCGCCUCCUCGGAUUGGGUCUAAAGGUCAGAUAAAUAUCACUUUGCAAAUUUGGUUCCGAGUGGAAAAACCAAAUAUGAAGCAAAUAUUAAGGAGAAACCGAGGACGACAAAAUCCACUUUUGGUGUAACCAAAAUGAAUAGCUGGCUAUAUAUAAGUUUUUGUAUUCAAAUGAUGAUUUUGUAUUGGUUCAUGCCUAGCUUAUUAUCUAGGCUUAAUAGAAAGUGUUUCACAUAAUGCUCGUUAGUGCGAAAGAUGGGGCCGUGCGCGAAGGGGUGCCCCUAAAUCUAAUAGAGCCCAUUGUCAUAGUAAAUUUUUUUUGGUUGCACAUUACCGUUGAGCUUCUUAGCCUUUUGCUUCUGUUUGUACAUUUACAUGUUUCUUUUCUGCUACAACGCAAUGAUUCUAGCUAUGUGUGUCUAUGAGAUUACUCACCUAUUUGGUACA